This 253-nucleotide ribosomal RNA is filed under the name uncultured bacterium. Its description in RNAcentral is "partial 16S ribosomal RNA". It matches the Rfam family "Bacterial small subunit ribosomal RNA", at positions 524 to 776 of the family's 1533-position model. The record is from RNAcentral.
GACGUAGGGCGCGAGCGUUGUCCGGAUUUAUUGGGCGUAAAGAGCUCGUAGGCGGCUUGUCGCGUCGUCCGUGAAAACCUGCGGCUCAACUGCAGGCUGGCGGUCGAUACGGGCAGGCUGGAGUUCGGUAGGGGAGACUGGAAUUCCUGGUGUAGCGGUGAAAUGCGCAGAUAUCGUUUGGAACGCCAAUGGUGAAAACAGGUCGCUGGGGAUGAGCUGACGCUGAGACACGAAAGCCAGGGGAGCAAACGGG